CGGAGAAUAACGACAUUCACCAAUAUUCAUCUUUUACCGUAACAUAUGCAUCCAGUCCAAAAGUGUUUCGACCCUUAAAUAUGCGAUUUUUGAAAAAUCCUUUCUUAUUACUCGGUGAAAGACUUCCAAAUGUCAGGUGUGUACGUUGAAUAGUUUUUGAGAUUCAGCGAUCAGUGAGUCAGUGGUAUUUGGAUUUUAUAUUUCUAUUAUAUAUAUAAUAUGAGUAUUUGUGUACGCUGAGAUUAUUUCUAUCGAUAAACUUCCCGGAACAAUUAUUCUAUAGUUUAUUCAGAAUAAAAGUGCCCAGUCAUUUGGACGAAAACUAGUUUUUAUUGCGCAUGGUUCCUUUCCACUAGGAACGUUGUAGUAUGCCGACGCGUUACGACGCUGUUAUACGUAAUGAACUGUAUUACCACAUUCUUCUCGUAACGCCAAGCUAUAGUUCUAUUUUGAAUAACAAGGGGCGGAAAAGAAGACCAAGGGCCGCGAAUCUGACCAUCCUGAUCUGGAGCGUUGAGCUGGUUACACACUACGCGCAGUGUAUAACCGCCAUUGGAGGGACUCGGUAUACCAUAUCGAAUUUCGAGUUCACGCGUUUUGUUAUUUUUGAGACGUAGCGUUCAAUGACGAGUGAGCGGGGAUUUUACAUGGGAUGGAACGUGCGCUGCAUGUGACGGGCGAGAGGCGUGUGUACGCGUUAUGUAUACCAUAAAGUGAACAGCUGUGUUGGAAUGAAUACAUAUCUGCCGAAAUCGUUUGCGUUUUGCACGUAAAGCAGUGACUCACGAAGGCGGCGGUGACCGGGGUACAGCGUUGACACAGCCGCGGCCGUUAGGUUAGCCUAUACUUUGCAGACUGCGGAACUUUUUGUAUCAUUGUACCAAUGGUAUUACACGCCUGCUUCGGUUCAUAAAAUUUUAAUCCAUGGUACAGACGUAAUACGUUCUGCUUUAUUACCUAUUGGCCAGUUGUCGGAAAAGGCACAAGAGGCCCGGAAUAAAAAUUUCAGAAAUAUAAGAAAAAAUAAUACACACAAAACAAAGUCUCAUAAAAUUAGGAUUUAGCCCAUAUGCUGCUUGUGUCUUUGGAUCCCUACAUUUCUAGCUAAAAAAAAUUCGAAAAUCAAUAUGAAACCGCUGGAUGAAGAUAUGAGAGCUCUAAUGAUAAUCGAUUCUGACGAAAAUAAUGACUCCGACAAUAAUAGUGACGAUGACAGUGAU
This is a long non-coding RNA of Sipha flava (yellow sugarcane aphid), 1220 nucleotides long. RefSeq lists it as uncharacterized. The transcript has 4 exons. The record is from RefSeq and is a predicted model, not a curated record. NCBI's taxonomy places the organism in Eukaryota, Metazoa, Arthropoda, Insecta, Hemiptera, Aphididae.